Molecule: ribosomal RNA, 498 nt
Filed under: uncultured bacterium
Lineage: Bacteria
Description: partial 16S ribosomal RNA
Rfam family: Bacterial small subunit ribosomal RNA
Source: RNAcentral
GACGAACGCUGGCGGCGUGCCUAAUACAUGCAAGUCGAGCGGACGGAUGGGAGCUUGCUCCCAGACCGUCAGCGGCGGACGGGUGAGUAACACGUGGGCAACCUGCCUGUAAGACUGGGAUAACUCCGGGAAACCGGGGCUAAUACCGGAUAACUCUUUCCCUCACAUGAGGGAAAGCUGAAAGAUGGCAUCUCGCUAUCACUUACAGAUGGGCCCGCGGCGCAUUAGCUAGUUGGUGAGGUAACGGCUCACCAAGGCGACGAUGCGUAGCCGACCUGAGAGGGUGAUCGGCCACCCUGGGACUGAGACACGGCCCAGACUCCUACGGGAGGCAGCAGUAGGGAAUCUUCCGCAAUGGACGAAAGUCUGACGGAGCAACGCCGCGUGAGUGAUGAAGGUGUUCGGAUCGUAAAACUCUGUUGUCAGGGAAGAACAAGUACCGGAGUAACUGCCGGUACCUUGACGGUACCUGACCAGAAAGCCACGGCUAACUACGUG